This is a non-coding RNA of Rattus norvegicus (Norway rat), 6508 nucleotides long. The record is from RefSeq and is a predicted model, not a curated record. Lineage: Eukaryota; Metazoa; Chordata; Mammalia; Rodentia; Muridae.
AAACAAGUAAAGCAUAGGAGUGGACCACCACAAGGAGCCUUUGGGAAAUGUCCUUACUCUGUUCUCAUUCCAGUAAAGCAGCACUUUUCUAGCCUGGCUUACCGGUGUCUUCUAAGCUAGGACUAGGUGAGGAGAAGGAGUGAAGCGAAAGUAGUCACUUUAGAAAUCAGCAGCCCAAGAGCAAACCAGACAGGUGUUACUCUCGCCAGCACCAUCUGCCCUGUGCUGAGAGCAAAGAUUCAGCCCUUCCUAUUUUUCAACUCAGAUUCUCUUUUGAUGAAAAGAAGAACCUAAUGACUUUGAUUCUUCCAACCCCACCCCUGCACAUCCUAACUGCUCUACAUGAAGGACUUUCAGAUCAGAAAAUGGGAACUAAAAAUUCUUGAUGAAAAAUCUGCCUUUCAUGCCUCUUUCCAGAAAACAAGCAUUCCUCACAAAACAUGAACAUUUUCCAAAUGGUUUCUGGGACACUGGCAGCAAUCAUAAAUGUGCCAGAGCCUGACUUGAGGCAUUUCUUGUAGAGGACCAAAAGAUAUCUCGUAUGUCAUCAAAAGUAAGUUCUUAUGAUUCAAAUGUCUCUCAGAGAGAGUGAAAGACGAUGAACGCACACAACGGAUCAUUUGGGGCUUUGUUGUUCUUGUUGUUGUUGCUUUGUUUUGUUUUUCCAAGACAUGGUUUCUCUGUGUAGCCCUGGCUGUCCUGGAGCUACUCUGUAACCCAGGCUGGCCUGCCUCUGCCUCCAGAGUGCUGGGAUCAAAGGCAUGCUCCACCAGCCAGCUCACAGAAUGGACUUUUAUCCUAGAGUUUUGUUGUUUGUUUUUUAUUUUUGGUUUGUUUGUGUUUUUUUUGUUGUUUUUUGUUUUGUUUUGUUUUGUUUUGUCAAUAGCUCAUCUGCUGGGCAAUUUGUAUCUAAAACAUAGCAAUUAAAAUAAUGACAGUGCUGCAGUGCGUUCCACACACAUAAAUACACCCAUGCAGUGCUGCAUUGCACCCGCACUCCAUGCACAUAAAUACACCCAGAGACACAGAGGUUAAACAGAGACUGUAUCCACUCGGCAGCGGUAUUUAAAAAAAAAAAAAAAAAAGUCUCGCAAAAGAAUUCCAUCUGUUGGUAAGAAUAUAAAACCUUACCCCCACUGUGGUAAACAAUAUAGAAGUUGAUCAAGACCCAGACAGUGGCAGUGGCAGUGGCAGUGGCAGUGACAGUGGCAGUGCACACCUCUAAUCCCAGCACUAGGAGGCAGAGACAAACAUGUCUCUGAGUUUGAGGCCAAUCUGGUCUACAGAGCAAGUUCCAGGAUAGCCAGGCCACAGAGAAAACAAACAAUUGUAAUCUACCCAUACAGUUCCUAACUCAUCCCUGAACCUCCAGCAUGUGAGAUGGUUCAUGGGUAAAGACUAGCUGCUGCAAAGCAUGGUGUCUUCCCUAGAUGCAUACAUGUGAAAGUGGACAGCCAACUCCUGCAACUUAUCCUGUGACCUCCACAUGUGUCAUAGUAAGUAUUCGCAUGCAUGAGGAUCACACACACACACACACACACACACACACACACACACACACACACACAGACAAGUGAAAAACACCAGAUACUACAAGUUACUGUUUUGCUCUGUAUAUAAACUGUCAAAGGCUUAUGUGCUACAUGCUUGGUCCUGGUGCAUCAGAGCUCCCAGAGGACUCUGUAGUUCACGACUGAAUGGGGAAAGAUAGUUGGUGAGAGGAGUUGUGAGGUGGAUAGUGCCCUGGAUACCUUGGUGGAUACCUUGUCUCUGUCCCACUCCCUAGAUUCCAUAAGUUGAGCAGCUCUGUUCUCCAGGCCCCUCAGCCAUUCUACUCUGUGUGAGCACAAGCCCCUCCACAAUGGACCAUGAGGUCAUGAAAAAAAAAAUCCUUCCUCUGUUCAAAUUGUCCUUCUGAGGCAUUAUUAUUAUAUGACUCCAUGUAUUCAUAUGUGAAUUAGCCAGAACAAGCAAAUCCAUGGACACAGAAGGCAAACUUGUGGUUUUCAAGGGCCUCAAGAAGGGAAAACAAGGAUCACAGCUUAAUAUGAAAGAGAUCUACUGAGCUGGAGAGAUGGCUCAGCAGUUAAGAGCACCGACUGCUCUUCCAGAGGUCCUGAGUUCAAAUCCCAGCAAUCACAUGGUGGCUCACAACCAUCUGUAAUAAGAUCUGAUGCCCUUUUCUGGUGUGUCUGAGGACAGCUACAGUGUACUUAUAUAUAAUAAAUAAAUAAAUCUUUAAAAAAAAAGGAGGGUUGGGGAUUUAGCUCAGCGGUAGAGCACUUGCCUAGCAAGCGCAAGGCCCUAGGUUCAAUCCCCAGCUCCGAAAAAAAAAAAAAAAGAAAAGAAAAAAAAAGGAAAGAAAGAGAUCUACUUCAGAGAUGCUGAAAAUACUGUGAUAGUUGUGCAAGACUGGGAUGAUACUAAAAGCAAAAUGUCAAACCCUACCUUCUACACGGCUAAAUCUGAACUUCACCCCAUAAAGAUAUUUUUUUAAAAAGCCAACAUUUAAAUUUGGGAAAUUUCACACGCAUGCGCACAUGCAUGCGCGAGUGCGCGCGAGCACACACACACACACACACACACACACACACACACACACACACACAAUCAAGAUUGCCUUCUGUUGAAGAAGUUCUACAGAAUCUUCACAAUAGCCAAGAGGUAGCAGGAAGCCCCGUCCUGGAGCUCACCUCUGCCACUGCCUGGCCUGGAGCAGGAGGGGAAUAUAACAUCUACAGCAGUGGUUCUCAACCUUCCUGUUUCAACCCAGUUCUUCAAGUUGAGGUGACCCCUAGCCAUGAUUUGUGUUGCUACUUCAUAACUGCAAUUUUGUUAGUGUUACGAAUGGUAAUAUCAACAUCUGUGUUUUCCCAUGGUCUUAUGCAACCCCUGUGAACAGAGAGGUCUUGACCCACAAGGUAAGAACUGCUGGUCCACAGUGUCUGACUGUAGUGAGAAGCCAAUGCAUUAAAAGGCUUACAAGAGGGGGCUGGAGAGAUGGCUCAGUGGUUAAGAGCACUGGCUGCUCUUCCAGAGGUCCUGAGUUCAAUUCCCAGCAACCACAUGGUGGCUCACAACCAUCUGUAGUGGGAUCCGAUGCCCUCUUCUGGUGUGUCUGAAGACAGCGACAGUGUACUUAUAUAAAUAAAAUAAACCUUUAAAAAAAAAAAAAAAAGGGCUUACAACAGGAGCUGGGAGGAAGGGAGGAAGGCUUAGAGAAUAUGAGGUUUCUGCUCUCCCAUUGGUGCUACUUGGUGGUUCACAACCAUCAGGAACUCCAAUUCCAAAGGAUCUGGCACCCUUUCCUGGCCUCUACAGGUAAUGUAUGCAUGAGGUAAAACAUUCAAACACAAAAAAGUAGAAAAAAAUUUUAAAAUGUUAAAAGCUUAGUUUUCAAAGUCCUUUUCAGUUGCUUUUACAGAUAGAGUACAGCACAGCACGUAACUUUGCAGUCUGCCAGCAAGAAAUGAAAGACAAUUAGGGGGGUUGGGGAUUUAGCUCAGCAGUAGAGCGCUUGCCUAGGGAGCGCAAGGCCCUGGGUUCGGUCCCCAGCUGGGGGGUGGGGGGGAGAAAAAAGAAAAAAGAAAGAAAAAAAAAAGAAAGACAAUUAGACAAAAACUUCAAAGCAGCGAGCCAAAUGCACACACUGGUUAAAGCACUGGACACACCUAUGCUCGGAGGGGCAGCCUAGCUGAGUCUAGCUAGCACAAGGGAGGGGAGAGGCAGCAGACUUAACUCUCAUACUUAGGGGGGCACUAUGCACGGAGAACAGUCCAGGAACAACCCUAGACUUAUGGAAACAGAAGGUGACAAGCUCUAACUCCUUACACUUAAAGGGACUUCAUGUGCUAUUUAUAUUUUAAGCAAUACUUUUAUAAUCAGACCCUUCCAAGAGCUAUUUUAUAAAAGGCAAAUCUAACUGUGAGGUUUUGGGGGAUGGUCACAAAACUCCACCCAGGGAACAGCCACAGCAUGGUUUCCUGAAAUCAAAAGCCCUUUCUUCUGCUCCCAGACAUGGAUUUUCCUUGUACCCUUCCUAGAGACCAUUUCUCCCUCAGCUCCCUUCUCCCUUGUGCCACAAGAUGUCCCAGCUGCUGACCUGGCUGAGUGCCCUGGCCUGGCAGUGUCCGUCACUCCGCAGCCCAGCCUUUCUCACCCCGUCACCUGUGCCCCUUAUAACCUCCGUUCUAGUGAGCCAACCACUACGCCCAGUCACUGAAGGCUUUGGAAAUACCAUUAUCUUCCUUUAUACAUUUUUAUUGUUUAUUGUGUCUCUGUAUGUAUCCACGUGUGUACAAGUCUGUAUGCCUUGAAGGUGACAGCUGAUGUUGGAUGUCUUCCUCUCUCAGCAUCCCCCUGGGGUUUUUAGAGUCAGCAUUUGUCCCUGAACCUGAAGCUCACCAUUUCAGCUGAGACUUCCUAGCCAGCAAACCCCUAGAAUGUGCCGUCUCUGCACCCCAGCACUGGACUGCUGUUGAAACCCGGAGAGCACACAGCUUCACCUGACCUGCAUGUUUGCUGGGUCCUAACAGAGGACCUUGCUCUCAGCUGACCGAAUCAGCUUGUAUUUAUUAUUUAUUUACUUACCUAUUUUAGAUUAUAGUAAAAUUCACAUCAAAUAAAAUUCACCACUUUAAAAUGCACAACUAAAGGCAUCUUGUUACAUUCACAGUAUGGUAUAACAAACAUUACAAUGUUCCAAAUAUUUUAUCACCCACAAGGAAACUUCAAACCAUAAAGACAUUUUUCCAAGCUCCCUUUGUCCCCUAAAAAAAAAAAAAAUCCUACCUCCACAGAUGUGUCUAUGUGAGAUAUCACGUGUGAAUGGUGCCAUACAAUAAAUAGCCUCUGAUGUCUGGCUUUCUUCAUCUAGCAUAAAUUUUCAAGAUAUCUAGGUUGGAGUAACUGUCAGUAUUUUGUUCCUCUUAGGGCUAAAUGAUGCAGUAUUUCCUUCUGGUCCACAGUUUCACUUUCUAUGGACUUAAUUACUAACAGUCAACUUCUGUCUGAAAAUAGAUGGAAAAUUCUAGAAAUAAUCCAUUUCUAAGUUUUAAAUUGAGUACUGUUCUGAGUGAUGUGAUGACAUCUGUAAUCAUUUCUCAACAGCAUGUCCAGGGUGAGAAUCACCCCUUCAUCCAACUGAUCCGCACUGUACAUGCUACUUGCCUGCUAGUUCUGUGACUGUGGUAGUAAGCUACUGUGGGACCCUAAUAGUUUUAUUUUCUAACAUGACCCAUUAAUGUUUUACAAACCAUGGAAGGACGCCUCACUGUCUGGAUUUCAUCCCUUAUCAUUUUAAGGUCUAGCACACUGUCAUCUUUUUAAGGUCUAGCACACUGUCAUCUUUUGCUAAGCUAAUACAAUUGUCACUGUAUAAUUAGGCUCAACGUUUUUACCUUGCCGUCUGUAGGCUAUCGUACUAUAUUCUAUCAUAGCUACAAUGGUUCUAUUAACAGAGAGCUGACUUCUAUUCUGUAUUUCUCUUGGGCUAAAGCCCGUUCUAUGGUCUCUAAAGUCAUAGGCUCAAUUCUGUUCUGUGCCUAGCUCCAUGCACUUUCUGUGUUUCCAACACAGCCCAGGCCUACUCCUGCCUUCACGAGCUCCAUCAGCUAUAUUACCCCCACCACAGAAUCCAACAGCUUACUCUCUCAGCAUUAAAUGGCCAAAGGUCACCUUCUCAAGAGUCUGACCCUGCUCACUGCCAUUUAACAUCAUCUAACACAAGAAACACUAUUUUGACAGUGUUUGCUGGCUUCUGUUAUUUCCCUUCCACUGAAAGGUAGGUGCAGUGUGGCCAUUAUAGAAACAAAGUAGAGGCUUUGAAAACAAAAUUAGCAUAUUCCUUAGCAAGACUAAAACUCAGCAGGAAAACCAUCAAACCUUGCCUGGACUCCCGGUCCAGCAAGAGCUGGGGGCCCUCUGCCCCUCCCCUGCAUCUUUGUUUCCUGUAACAGGGACCCUCUCUCUGUCUUACAUCAGCUCCAGUCCCUGUCUGAAGCUUUCCUUAGUGGACAUCUGAUGGCUCUGACAUCUUCAACAUCCUGGCGUCUCCACGGAAAUUUGGUCUUCACCUUCUGAGUUGCAAGGCACACUCUGGGGUCUUCUUGCAGUUUCUUAAAGCCAACUGAAUCACAUGUUGCCUCACCUCAGCAACUCCUUAAAACUGUGGUAUAGGACUCCAUGACCCUCUCAAAGCUUAUGCCUUUCAUGCUUGCAAGACCAGCACCACAUGGAAGUCACUGCCACAUUCUGCUGCAGCUUAGGCUGGAGCUGGCCACACUGAAGCAGCUGCACCAGCCUUCCUGGGCUAAGCCCGGAAGGCAACUCCCAUGGAGGGUUGCUUGGAACAGAGACUCUCACCACAUUCUCAGUCUAGGCUGUCUCCUUCAAAUGGAUCUGCAUUUUCAUGACAGGGAGCCUCCAAUAAGCUGUCCUGCCGUCCUGGCGCUUUCCUGUCCCUCUAGUGAAGGUACCAGGUUUCUCUUUAAUAAUUACAACUCUUUCC